AAUAAAGAACCAUCACAUCCAAUCUUCAAUUCUUCAAAAGUCUCUUUUGUAAAUUGAUGUCCAAUCUUUUUUGGAUCUCUUAUACACUCUUAUUUUGAUGCUUCUUCUAUUUGCUCAUUAAAAUCUUCUGAUAAAGGUCCGGCAACAUGGUUUAACUUUUUAUCUAUUGUUUUAUAUUUUAUCUCUACAAUAACUUCUAGAGCUUGAAAAGAUUCAAGUAUAGUAUAAACCUCCUUCGAAUGAAUUUCCACAAUCUUAUCAUUAUCCCCUAAUCCAAAAGAUGUAAUUAAUUCUAAAGAAUCUUCCAAUCCAUUUUUUUCAUAAAUACCUAAAAUCUUCUCAUCAUCUUCUAAUGUCUCUAACUUGUGUAAUUCCUUUUCAAUACUAUAUAAUCUUUUUCUUUCUUUUCUUUUAAAAUCAUCAACUUUUUUAUACAUAAUAUUUCUAUUCUCAAAAAUACCAAUAAAAUUCGCAUCAAAGGCACCUAUAUCUUACGAGAGUAUCUCCUCUUUU
This 513-nucleotide long non-coding RNA is filed under the name Physcomitrium patens. RNAcentral describes it as "long non-coding RNA (PPAT_LNC008371)". Lineage: Eukaryota; Viridiplantae; Streptophyta; Bryopsida; Funariales; Funariaceae. The record is from RNAcentral.